Molecule: transfer RNA, 52 nt
Filed under: Blattisocius tarsalis
Lineage: Eukaryota; Metazoa; Arthropoda; Arachnida; Mesostigmata; Blattisociidae
Description: tRNA-Arg
Source: RNAcentral
UUUAAGAAUAAUAAUUGUUUUCGACACAAUUUAAGAAUAAUCUCUCUUAAAU